Non-coding RNA from Xyrichtys novacula (pearly razorfish), 99 nucleotides. The record is from the annotation of a GenBank genome assembly. Lineage: Eukaryota; Metazoa; Chordata; Actinopteri; Labriformes; Labridae.
CACUGUUAGCCGUUGUUAGCUGUUGUUAGUUGUUUUUUGCUAUACCAGACUGGUGUAGCAAAAAAACAAUUAACAACAGCUAACAACGGCUAACAACGG